CCGCUGGUUUUACCGUCGGGAGAGAACCAAUCCCUCGCUAGCCCGGCCUCGUCUCCCGUCUCCAGUCGCAGCCGCCGCCGCACCCCAAUCCAACCCCGCCGCCGGCGAUCUCCUCGCCCCCCUGCGCCGGCGCCCCCAACCUUCUAUUCCUCUCCCAAGGGAAUCCCAAGGGAAGGGAAGGCAGGGGAAGGGAAGGGAAGGGAGAGGGAGCGCCCAGAUCCACGACGGCAUCUGCACUUCGCCCCCGCCGCUGCAUCCCUUCGCCGGUGCCCUCCCAGUUCAAAGCCGCCACCGCUUUGCUUCAUGAACCGGCGACGAUCUACUUGUGGAGUCGCACGACGAUCCCUUCCCGGAUCCGCCGCCGAUCACUUUCAGGAUCCGCCACGGAUCACUUCCAGGAUCCGCCGCCGACCACUUCUAGGAUCCGCCGCGUACCGCCUACAGGAUCCGCCGCCGAUCACUUCAAGGUUCCGCCGCGUACCGCCUAUAGGAUCCGCCCGUUCGUGGGGCAGCUAGCUUUGCUGAUGCAUAUGCCGACAUGAUAAACAAGAUAUGCAUGCAUAUUUUAAUUUUAUUUGGAGAUAAGAUAUAUAUGCGAUACUAAUUGCUAAGUCGAGGAAGCAAGGUGUGUAGGUUCUCCUUGAUACUGUUUUUUUUUCUACAUUGUCGCACACUUGAAAAACAAUCCUUGCGUUUAGCCAAUAGUGUGUAGCUUCUCCUCGAUAUUGAUUCUCAUACUUACAGUGUUGGAUACUUCGCUUAACACAAAACUGGAACAUGAAACACUGAUGCAGGUUUCAUGAUGGAACUGGAAAGGCCCUUUUGAAUGUAUGAGAACAUCUACAAACCAAUAUUGUGCAAUAGUAUAUACUCGUUGAUGUGUUGGGGAUGAUGAGAUUUUUGUAACCAACGGUUUCUGAGCUAACAUCGAAACAUAAGAUGUAUAUCUCACGCUGGACCAUUAAAAACAUUAGAUUUCCCUACAUGUCUGUCAUCGAACAUCAGAACUACUAUUUCAAAUUCAUUGGCAUUUGGUGCUAUGUUCUGUACCAUAUCAGAACUAUUUCCCUUUUAUUUUGGUGUGGAUAUAUACAUGUACGUACACGCAUAUUAACUAUUGGACUAUGCAUCAGCAUUAAUAUUUACACAUUACAAUGUACAUUCAUACAUUCAUUUCGUACAGAGAUCGGGACAAAGGAGUUCUGAAGAAGAAGAUUCAUCUACAGAAUAUAUAAUAUGCAUUGAAGAAAACAGAGAUUCAUCUUGGUGAGCACUAACCGUUCAUUAUAGAUUGUUGGCGAGAUAAGUUGCUCCUAUGACUAAAAUUGUGCCGGCGCUCUGAUUUACUACUGGGUGCCCUUUCUAGAGGUAAAUUUUAUUAUUAUUUUGGUCGUGUACGUGUGUGGGGGGAGGGUGUCUUGAUUGAUUCACUAACUGUUCUAGCUUUGACGUUGUAUGUCAUCAGCUUGGGUUUGUUCCAUCAGACUUUUCACACAUUAUAUGACUUCGUUAGAAUUCAGGUUGCGUUCUGUCUUUUACUUUAGAAAAAUAGCGAGUGAACCUUUUUUGAAAUUCGGUCUGCCACAUAGAGAGGAACUCAUUGGCUCCCCGGCACCAUCGAGCACUGAGGUUGACCAAACAAGUGUGUGAACAUUUAUGAGAUUUGUAAUUUGAAAACUAUAUAAAGCCAAAUAACUAUGAACACACCCUUGGAAUAAAUGUGAAAGGAGAAUCUGCGGUCUUACCGGAAAAAAUUGAAACAUUAGCUAGGAUUUGUUGGUUAGAUUCAUGUUGCUCCAUCCAUUUACUAUCAGUUCCUUUCAUAUAUUGCUUCCAUCAGAACAUGUUGACCUGAUUGUCCAUGGUUACACUCAUCUUCAAAUGGCACAACUUGUUUUGCUGCCACAUCUUCUCUUACCAUACGAUGAAUAGGUACUAUGUUCCAUCCCUCUCUUAUUUCACACUGCAUUAACAAUGUUUUUUCAGUGUGUCGAUUUGCCUAACUAUGCCUUGUUGAUUACUGAUUUUGUUACUAAUGUGUACACAAACCCUGCCUAAUUAAUUUAGUCCACUAUAUCUAACCAUAUGAAAGUGAAAGUUGAUUCUGACUACUUGCCUGGUGGUACGGUACAUUACCUCUUUUUCAAAUUAUGAGAGCGGAACGACAGCGUUGGCGUGGACGACUCGGAGCUCAACCCCGUCAAGGGCCGCGAGCAGGAGCGGCUUUCUUUUCAACAAGAAGAUGACCAAGGUCCAAGGGCGCCGCCAGCCACUUUGUCGUUGUCAUCGAAGAGUCCAAGAUUGUCCCCGCAUCGGUUGCAUUGGUGCCGAUCAGGUGCUAAUCUGAAUCCUUGUCCAAUUGCAAGUGGCCUAUAAAAAACCCUGGGUUGAAUGCACAUUACCAUCACACUGCCAUGUAAUUUUUGUUGGUACACAAUCAUGUUGCUGCAGUUCUAUUUAUAGACUUUUUGGUCAUUUUGUCUUUGUCUUUGUCCAUGGUCAGAUCAUGUUUUUAAGCUUGAUUGUUAUGAGUCAGUAAGGUGAGAAUGAGCGGUAAUGGUUUAACUAAUCAUCCCAUCAUGUUUUUAGUAUCACUAAUUUAUUUAUGCUAAUUCUUUCAACAUUCUUGCCGUUGAUGAUUCUAAAAGGUAAAGAGAAAUGUUAAAGAAUUCAUCUUCUGCUAUGGCACGCAACCCCGCCGGCUCCAUGGAUGUCUACGCAGUCAUCGUCCUUAACUGCUGUCUAGCGUCCAGGUCUGCGCGGUUGGGGCGUCAAUCACGUGUUCAGCGGCAUGUCAGAGCAACUCUCUGGCCAGAACCCUGACUAUGUGCGCUUCAGGUAAUGCAAUCCGCCAGAUAUGUAUGUUCACGUUUGUCAGUUGGGUUACACUAGGAGCAGGGGAUGUGCACAAGAAUUUUCCUGCCCAUGUGGUUGCCGGUCUUCUGGAUUGGUUUGGAUGCUAUAAAAAAAAGUAGAACCAGUUCCACCAAAAUCGAUACUAGGCUACUAGCAGUACCAUUGUCUUUGUCAAUUUUGUACCUGCCAUAGUAAGAUGACCCCUAUUCUUAAGAAUACAUAAUAGAUGAUAUUGUAGUGUUAUGAGAUUAGCUUUUACUUCUGUCCAUCGAUUGCUACAGAUUUUGGGAGAACACUGUUGUCCACGUUAUAUCAUAUACUUCCAAAUUAUAAAGCGUUCUUGUUGUAUGUAAGUUACCUAUUAUCCACAGAAUACAAGUAGUGGUUCAGAGCUACAGAGAAAAGUCUAAGAUAUUCAUCGUUAUUUCUCCAGUAAGAUAUCCCCCUUCGUUAAUACUGCCCUAUUCCUUUUCCCUUUUUCACGAAAGUGGAAGGAGUGAUGAAGAACUGAAACAUAGUUACAGUGGGCGUUUUUUAUAGGAACAAACUGAAGAAUUUGACAUUAACAUAAUUGUAGUACUAAUUCAGGUGUCCCUGGUUUUAUUACCACUAGAACAUGUUGACCUAAUUGUCCAUGGUUACACUCAUUUUCAAAUGGCACAACUUGUCUUGUUGCACAUCUUCAAAAUCGUUAAUAGGCUACUAGCAGUACCAUUGUAUUUGUCAAUUUUGUACUCCCUCCGUAAACUAAUAUAAGAGCGUUUAGAAUACUAAAGUAGUGAUCUAAAUGUUCUUAUAUUAGUUUACAGAGGGAGUACCUGGCAAAGUAAGAUGACCCCUAUUCUUAAGAAUACAUACCUGAGAAUAUUGUAGUGUUAGGAGAUUAGCUUUUACUUUUUUCCAUUGAUUGCUACAGAUUUUGAGAGAACACUGUUGUCCACGUUAUAUCGUAUACUUCCAAAUUAUAAAGAGUUCUUGUUAUAUGUAAGUUCCCUAUUAUCCACACAAUCCAAGCAGUGGUUCAGGACUACAGAGAAAGAAAGCACCAAUAACUUGUUUUUUCAUUUCUUUUUGGUGAUAAAACUGGAUUUUGCUUUUCCAUGAUCAUGUGUCGGUGCCUUUGUCUCUAUCAAAUAUUAGGGGUAAUGAAUUUUCCUGUGCUGGAUCAACAUGCAGAUCCUGCCCACCUUGAAGUCAUAAAUCCAGUGAAGUCAAUUUCAGUAUAUUCAGGACAUAGCCAGUAGCUUAGCAAUUUCCACGAGUAUGUUUUGUUUACAAUAAAGUUGUGUGCAAAAUGUAUAUGCUACAUUAUGCAUGAUUCUCUCUUUUAUCAAAGUAUAUCCAUGUGUUUAUUU
This is a long non-coding RNA of Triticum aestivum (bread wheat), 4211 nucleotides long. RefSeq lists it as uncharacterized. Lineage: Eukaryota; Viridiplantae; Streptophyta; Magnoliopsida; Poales; Poaceae. The record is from RefSeq and is a predicted model, not a curated record. The transcript has 3 exons.